GGUCGGAUAGCACAGUUGGUAGUGCGCAUGACUGUUAAUCAUGAGGUCGUGGGUUCGAGCCCCACUCUGACCG
Molecule: transfer RNA, 73 nt
Filed under: Schizosaccharomyces osmophilus
Lineage: Eukaryota; Fungi; Ascomycota; Schizosaccharomycetes; Schizosaccharomycetales; Schizosaccharomycetaceae
Description: tRNA-Asn
Rfam family: tRNA
About the family: Transfer RNA (tRNA) molecules are approximately 80 nucleotides in length. Their secondary structure includes four short double-helical elements and three loops (D, anti-codon, and T loops).
Source: RNAcentral